AACGAACGCUGGCGGCAUGCCUAACACAUGCGAGUCGAACGAGACCUUCGGGUCUAGUGGCGCACGGGUGCGUAACGCGUGGGAACCUGCCCUUAGGUUCGGAAUAACUCCCCGAAAGGGGUGCUAAUACCGGAUAAUGUCUUCGGACCAAAGAUUUAUCGCCUUUGGAUGGGCCCGCGUUGGAUUAGCUAGUUGGUAGGGUAAAAGCCUACCAAGGCGACGAUCCAUAGCUGGUCUGAGAGGAUGAUCAGCCACACUGGGACUGAGACACGGCCCAGACUCCUACGGGAGGCAGCAGUGGGGAAUAUUGGACAAUGGGCGAAAGCCUGAUCCAGCAAUGCCGCGUGUGUGAUGAAGGCCUUAGGGUUGUAAAGCUCUUUUACCCGGGAUGAUAAUGACAGUACCGGGAGAAUAAGCUCCGGCUAACUCCGUG
Molecule: ribosomal RNA, 433 nt
Filed under: uncultured bacterium
Lineage: Bacteria
Description: partial 16S ribosomal RNA
Rfam family: Bacterial small subunit ribosomal RNA
Source: RNAcentral